UGAGGACACAGGGGUCCAGAGAGGCUGAGACUUGCCUGGGGCCACACAGCAAGUCAGGCAUGGGGAUAGCAAGGACACCAGGCAGCUUGCCCUGCGGCCCAAACCCUCGUCUUUGUCCAGCCACUAGAGGAACGAGGAUAAAGAUGGUGAAAAAUGGGGACUCAGGCCUCGGGGAGCUGUGUCUCUGCUCAGCGGAGCAGGAAGGGAUGGUCCUGAGGGGAACUCACAGAGCAACUGGCUCCCCCACCUUGUCCUGCUGCCGGGUGUCCUGGGACAAGGCUACCACCCAGCGGCCACCCAGCCAGGAUCCAGCCCAGUUUGGAGACAGGCAGGACAAGAGCGUCAGGUGCCAGUUGUGUCGAGGAGAGACCCUGUGAGAGAGGCUGUGGGAAAAGCACAGUGCCUGGCACAAAGGGAGAGGUCUGAGUAAAAGUCAAGGUGGCUUCCUGGAGGAGGCCACUGUGCUCUCCGGCGGCAGGAGAAGCAGGAAUAGAAGGAGUUUCCGGAAAAGGAAGAGGGAGAAGCUGUGUUCAGCGCCUGCGCCGUGUGUGGAGUGCAAACUGUCUGCAGGAGCCGAAUCAUUGAAUCUUCCAGCAAUCCUGUACUCCAGCCAUCCCCAUUUUACAGAUGAGAAAACUGAGGCUGGGGGUGGAAAUAAUUUAUUCACUCAGGGAGUAAAAGCUGGAGCCAGAAUUUAAACCCAGCUGGCAAUGAUGCCCCCCUUCCCUCCCUCCUCGGGUCUUUACGGCAUCCUCAUGGUGUGCUGGAUUCACAGAGGGCAUUCCAGCUCGGACCUGCUCCAAGGCCAGGAGCGCAGAACACCAGCAGAGGUGGGAGACCAGACUGGG
Molecule: long non-coding RNA, 848 nt
Filed under: Homo sapiens (human)
Lineage: Eukaryota; Metazoa; Chordata; Mammalia; Primates; Hominidae
Description: HSALNT0401591
Source: RNAcentral